UACAGAGGUGGCGAGCGUUAUUCGGAAUUAUUGGGCGUAAAGGGCGCGUAGGCGGCCACGCAAGUCCUGGGUGAAAUCCCUCGGCUCAACCGAGGAACUGCCUCGGAAACUGCAUGGCUCGAGGCCGGGAGAGGGUAGCGGAAUUCCCAGUGUAGCGGUGAAAUGCGUAGAUAUUGGGAGGAACACCGGUGGCGAAGGCGGCUACCUGGACCGGUUCUGACGCUGAUGCGCGAAAGCGUGGGGAGCAAACAGG
RNAcentral lists this ribosomal RNA (253 nucleotides) under uncultured bacterium. RNAcentral describes it as "partial 16S ribosomal RNA". It matches the Rfam family "Bacterial small subunit ribosomal RNA", at positions 524 to 776 of the family's 1533-position model. The record is from RNAcentral.